UACGUAGGGGGCUAGCGUUGUCCGGAAUCAUUGGGCGUAAAGCGCGCGUAGGCGGCCCGAUAAGUCUGCUGUGAAAGUCCAGGGCUCAACCCUGGAAUGCCGGUGGAUACUGUCGGGCUAGAGUUCGGAAGAGGCAAGUGGAAUUCCUGGUGUAGCGGUGGAAUGCGCAGAUAUCAGGAGGAACACCUAUAGCGAAGGCAGCUCUCUGGGACGGUACUGACGCUGAGACGCGAAAGCGUGGGGAGCGAACAGG
RNAcentral lists this ribosomal RNA (253 nucleotides) under uncultured bacterium. RNAcentral's name for it is "partial 16S ribosomal RNA". It matches the Rfam family "Bacterial small subunit ribosomal RNA", at positions 524 to 776 of the family's 1533-position model. The record is from RNAcentral.